GGUCUGUGAUGCCCUUAGA
This 19-nucleotide non-coding RNA is filed under the name Arabidopsis thaliana (thale cress). The record is from RNAcentral. Lineage: Eukaryota; Viridiplantae; Streptophyta; Magnoliopsida; Brassicales; Brassicaceae. RNAcentral also lists the same sequence under 1 other name.